ACCGGCUAACUCCGUGCCAGCAGCCGCGGUAAUACGGAGGGUGCGAGCGUUAAUCGGAAUUACUGGGCGUAAAGCGCAUGCAGGUGGUUUGUUAAGUCAGAUGUGAAAGCCCGGGGCUCAACCUCGGAAUUGCAUUUGAAACUGGCAGACUAGAGUACUGUAGAGGGGGGUAGAAUUUCAGGUGUAGCGGUGAAAUGCGUAGAGAUCUGAAGGAAUACCGGUGGCGAAGGCGGCCCCCUGGACAGAUACUGACACUCAGAUGCGAAAGCGUGGGGAGCAAACAGGAUUAGAUACCCUGGUAGUCCACGCCGUAAACGAUGUCUACUUGGAGGUUGUGGCCUUGAGCCGUGGCUUUUGGAGCUAACGCGUUAAGUAGACCGCCUGGGGAGUACGGUCGCAAGAUUAAAACUCAAAUGAAUUGACGGGGGCCCGCACAAGCGGUGGAGCAUGUGGUUUAAUUCGAUGCAACGCGAAGAACCUUACCUACUCUUGACAUCCAGAGAACUUUCCAGAGAUGGAUUGGUGCCUUCGGGAACUUUGAGACAGGUGCUGCAUGGCUGUCGUCAGCUCGUGUUGUGAAAUGUUGGGUUAAGUCCCGCAACGAGCGCAACCCUUAUCCUUGUUUGCCAGCGAGUAAUGUCGGGAACUCCAGGGAGACUGCCGGUGAUAAACCGGAGGAAGGUGGGGACGACGUCAAGUC
This 700-nucleotide ribosomal RNA is filed under the name Vibrio vulnificus. RNAcentral's name for it is "bacterial SSU rRNA". It matches the Rfam family "Bacterial small subunit ribosomal RNA", at positions 492 to 1191 of the family's 1533-position model. Lineage: Bacteria; Pseudomonadati; Pseudomonadota; Gammaproteobacteria; Vibrionales; Vibrionaceae. The record is from RNAcentral.